This 74-nucleotide transfer RNA is filed under the name Firmicutes bacterium CAG:103. Its description in RNAcentral is "transfer RNA-Cys(GCA)". It matches the Rfam family "tRNA". From Rfam's summary of the family: Transfer RNA (tRNA) molecules are approximately 80 nucleotides in length. Their secondary structure includes four short double-helical elements and three loops (D, anti-codon, and T loops). Further hydrogen bonds mediate the characteristic L-shaped molecular structure. tRNAs have two regions of fundamental functional importance: the anti-codon, which is responsible for specific mRNA codon recognition, and the 3' end, to which the tRNAs corresponding amino acid is attached (by aminoacyl-tRNA synthetases). tRNAs cope with the degeneracy of the genetic code in two manners: having more than one tRNA (with a specific anti-codon) for a particular amino acid; and 'wobble' base-pairing, i.e. permitting non-standard base-pairing at the 3rd anti-codon position. The record is from RNAcentral. Lineage: Bacteria; Bacillati; Bacillota. RNAcentral also lists the same sequence under 6 other names.
GGCGCCAUAGCCAAGUGGUAAGGCAUGGGACUGCAAAUCCUUGACCCCCGGUUCAAAUCCGGGUGGCGCCUCCA